Molecule: unclassified non-coding RNA, 1215 nt
Filed under: Pentatrichia kuntzei
Lineage: Eukaryota; Viridiplantae; Streptophyta; Magnoliopsida; Asterales; Asteraceae
Description: partial external transcribed spacer
Source: RNAcentral
UUAUUAUAACAACGAAGGCACUACGCCCAUAGUCGAAAAUUCUAUUUUCGGCGGCGUGCACUCUGGGCCUCGCGGUGCACAGUGACGUUGCUCGAUGAUCUAUGUUGGAAGCCAUACUCGUUGCUUUGUAACUUGUUGAGCUCAARACAUGGAGACUCGGGUGACGAUGAGGCAUUGCUGUGGAGGAUGAACCCGUUGCUGUGGUGGACGAAAUGUUGCUGUGGAGAACGACGAAGGUGCUGCGUUGGUUGAUGAAAAUCUUCCAACGACGUGGUAUUGUAGGUCUCGCAAUGCCAUAUGUCUAGUUGCUUGAUGAUCUAUGUUGGAAGCUUUACAUGUUGCUUUUGCGACUUGUUGUGCCUAAAACAUGGUGAAUUGGGUGACGAARAGACCUUGAUGCGGAGGAGGACGAUGAGGACGUUGAUGCAGAGGAGGAUGAAGAUGAUGCUGCGUUGGUUGAUGAAAGUCUUCCAACGACGUGGUAUUGUGGGCCUCGCAAUGCCAUAUGUCACGUUGCUCUGAACGUUCCGGUUUGAAGCUGUACUUGUUUGUUGUGCUUCAUUUCGGUGAUCUCGUGCAACGACGAGGCAUGUUGGYUUGAUGAAAGUCUUCCAACGACGUGGUAUUGUGGGCCUCGCAAUGCCAUAUGUNACUGUUACUCUGAAUGACCCGAUUUGAASCUGUACUUGUUUGUUGUGCUUCAAUUUGGUGAACUUGUACAACGACGAGGCAUGGUCGCUUACUUUUGUGUGAUAUUCUUCUCGUAUCGUUCGGUGCAUUUUGGGGUCAUUUCAACAUUUGGUUGUUUUCUUGGCUUUUAGCUAGGGUGGUGACAAAAUGUUGGGUGACUUCGGGGAUGUCUACCGUAAAGGUGCAUGAGUGGUAUUUGGUUUGUUACGGGUGGUUGGCUCUUGCUUGCGCAACAACUUCCMCCUGGCUUACCUYUUCAGUUGCUUGCCAAUGCUUGUAAAGUAUUGGUUGGAUUGUGGGUUUCAUGUGUUGCCUACCGAAUUGAUGGUAUCGUAUUCUUAAAGAAUUCCAUUUUUUCAUCUUAUGUCGCAAAUGCGUUGUGUGAUGAGAACCUUGAAGCAUUCUUUAUGKACCACUCUUUUAAUGCUUACGUGUUAAUCGUGUGGCUCAUUUUGAGUUGCUUGGUAUCAUGAUUAUGGAACUCGAUGGGGGCAUGGGAUGUUUAUAUAUCCCUUGGUUGCCCUG